AGAGUUUGAUCCUGGCUCAGGACGAACGCUGGCGGCGUGCCUAAUACAUGCAAGUAGAACGCUGAAGAGAGGAGCUUGCUCUUCUUGGAUGAGUUGCGAACGGGUGAGUAACGCGUAGGUAACCUGCCUUGUAGCGGGGGAUAACUAUUGGAAACGAUAGCUAAUACCGCAUAACAAUGGAUGACACAUGUCAUUUAUUUGAAAGGGGCAAUUGCUCCACUACAAGAUGGACCUGCGUUGUAUUAGCUAGUAGGUGAGGUAACGGCUCACCUAGGCGACGAUACAUAGCCGACCUGAGAGGGUGAUCGGCCACACUGGGACUGAGACACGGCCCAGACUCCUACGGGAGGCAGCAGUAGGGAAUCUUCGGCAAUGGGGGCAACCCUGACCGAGCAACGCCGCGUGAGUGAAGAAGGUUUUCGGAUCGUAAAGCUCUGUUGUAAGUCAAGAACGAGUGUGAGAGUGGAAAGUUCACACUGUGACGGUAGCUUACCAGAAAGGGACGGCUAACUACGUGCCAGCAGCCGCGGUAAUACGUAGGUCCCGAGCGUUGUCCGGAUUUAUUGGGCGUAAAGCGAGCGCAGGCGGUUUGAUAAGUCUGAAGUUAAAGGCUGUGGCUCAACCAUAGUUCGCUUUGGAAACUGUCAAACUUGAGUGCAGAAGGGGAGAGUGGAAUUCCAUGUGUAGCGGUGAAAUGCGUAGAUAUAUGGAGGAACACCGGUGGCGAAAGCGGCUCUCUGGUCUGUAACUGACGCUGAGGCUCGAAAGCGUGGGGAGCGAACAGGAUUAGAUACCCUGGUAGUCCACGCCGUAAACGAUGAGUGCUAGGUGUUGGAUCCUUUCCGGGAUUCAGUGCCGCAGCUAACGCAUUAAGCACUCCGCCUGGGGAGUACGACCGCAAGGUUGAAACUCAAAGGAAUUGACGGGGGCCCGCACAAGCGGUGGAGCAUGUGGUUUAAUUCGAAGCAACGCGAAGAACCUUACCAGGUCUUGACAUCCCGAUGCUAUUUCUAGAGAUAGAAAGUUACUUCGGUACAUCGGUGACAGGUGGUGCAUGGUUGUCGUCAGCUCGUGUCGUGAGAUGUUGGGUUAAGUCCCGCAACGAGCGCAACCCCUAUUGUUAGUUGCCAUCAUUCAGUUGGGCACUCUAGCGAGACUGCCGGUAAUAAACCGGAGGAAGGUGGGGAUGACGUCAAAUCAUCAUGCCCCUUAUGACCUGGGCUACACACGUGCUACAAUGGUUGGUACAACGAGUUGCGAGUCGGUGACGGCAAGCUAAUCUCUUAAAGCCAAUCUCAGUUCGGAUUGUAGGCUGCAACUCGCCUACAUGAAGUCGGAAUCGCUAGUAAUCGCGGAUCAGCACGCCGCGGUGAAUACGUUCCCGGGCCUUGUACACACCGCCCGUCACACCACGAGAGUUUGUAACACCCGAAGUCGGUGAGGUAACCUUUUGGAGCCAGCCGCCUAAGGUGGGAUAGAUGAUUGGGGUGAAGUCGUAACAAGGUAGCCGU
RNAcentral lists this ribosomal RNA (1511 nucleotides) under uncultured bacterium. RNAcentral's name for it is "bacterial SSU rRNA". It matches the Rfam family "Bacterial small subunit ribosomal RNA". The record is from RNAcentral.